This 315-nucleotide ribosomal RNA is filed under the name uncultured bacterium. RNAcentral's name for it is "bacterial SSU rRNA". It matches the Rfam family "Bacterial small subunit ribosomal RNA", at positions 26 to 333 of the family's 1533-position model. The record is from RNAcentral.
AGAUUGAACGCUGGCGGCAUGCCUUACACAUGCAAGUCGAACGCCAAAGCGAGGGGCAACUCUUGCGAGUAGCGUGGCGCACGGGUGAGUAACAACAAUCGGAACGUAUCCACGAGUGGGGGACAACCAGUCGAAAGAUUGGCUAAUACCGCAUACGCUGGGGACAGGAAAGCGGGGGACGGGUCACACCGGCCUCGCGCUCGCGGGGCGGCCGAUGUCCGAUUAGCUAGUGGCGGGGUAAGAGCCCACCAAGGCUGCGAUCGGUAGCGGGUCUGAGAGGAUGAUCCGCCACACUGGGACUGAGACACGGGCCCA